Molecule: ribosomal RNA, 865 nt
Filed under: Clitopilus crispus
Lineage: Eukaryota; Fungi; Basidiomycota; Agaricomycetes; Agaricales; Entolomataceae
Description: partial large subunit ribosomal RNA
Rfam family: Eukaryotic large subunit ribosomal RNA
Source: RNAcentral
CAAGGAUUCCCCUAGUAACUGCGAGUGAAGCGGGAAAAGCUCAAAUUUAAAAUCUGGUAGUUUCACUGCCCGAGUUGUAAACUAGAGAAGCGUUAUCCGCGCUGGACCGUGUAUAAGUCUCCUGGAAUGGAGCGUCAUAGAGGGUGAGAAUCCCGUCUUUGACACGGACUACCAGGGCUUUGUGAUGCGCUCUCAAAGAGUCGAGUUGUUUGGGAAUGCAGCUCUAAAUGGGUGGUAAAUUCCAUCUAAAGCUAAAUAUUGGCGAGAGACCGAUAGCGAACAAGUACCGUGAGGGAAAGAUGAAAAGAACUUUGGAAAGAGAGUUAAACAGUACGUGAAAUUGUUGAAAGGGAAACGCUUGAAGUCAGUCGCGUCGGCUAGGAAUCAGCCUUGCUUUUGCUUGGUGUACUUUCUAGUCGACGGGUCAGCAUCAGUUUUGAUCGGUGGAAAAAGGCCAGCGGAAUGUGGCACCUUCGGGUGUGUUAUAGCUGCUGGUUGUAUACAUCGGUUGGGACUGAGGAACUAGCACUCUGUGUUUUAGAUGCUGGCAUAAUGGCUUUAAUCGACCCGUCUUGAAACACGGACCAAGGAGUCUAACAUGCCUGCGAGUGUUUGGGUGGAAAACCCGAGCGCGUAAUGAAAGUGAAAGUUGAGAUCCCUGUCGUGGGGAGCAUCGACGCCCGGACCAGACCUUUUGUGACGGAUCCGCGGUAGAGCAUGUAUGUUGGGACCCGAAAGAUGGUGAACUAUGCCUGAAUAGGGUGAAGCCAGAGGAAACUCUGGUGGAGGCUCGUAGCGAUUCUGACGUGCAAAUCGAUCGUCAAAUUUGGGUAUAGGGGCGAAAGACUAAUCGAACCAUCUAGUA